CAUACACGCCAGUAUCGGAUCAGAGCAUAUUUAGCUCUAGUCCGUCAUUUUUUUCAAAUGCUCCAGAGUCGCCGCCGCCGAUGUGUAUG
This is a long non-coding RNA of Ornithodoros turicata, 89 nucleotides long. RefSeq lists it as uncharacterized. The record is from RefSeq and is a predicted model, not a curated record. Lineage: Eukaryota; Metazoa; Arthropoda; Arachnida; Ixodida; Argasidae. The transcript is spliced from 3 exons.